This 162-nucleotide non-coding RNA is filed under the name Saccoglossus kowalevskii. The record is from RNAcentral. Lineage: Eukaryota; Metazoa; Hemichordata; Enteropneusta; Harrimaniidae.
CCCUACCAAUUGCAUGUACCUUGACGUGGUGGUAGGGCAACUAAUUGAUCCGUUAUGAAAAGUCAUACUUUGUGAAUUGAAGUAACCAACAUGUCUUGCUAUUGAUAGCAAGUAGACCCAAAUUGUACUCAUUCAACUACGGUUCAAUUAGACUAAACAUGC